This is a long non-coding RNA of Triticum aestivum (bread wheat), 1061 nucleotides long. RefSeq lists it as uncharacterized. The record is from RefSeq and is a predicted model, not a curated record. The transcript is spliced from 2 exons. Lineage: Eukaryota; Viridiplantae; Streptophyta; Magnoliopsida; Poales; Poaceae.
AGGAGCUAGGGGCUGAUUCUGUAAGCAGAUCAUUGUCCUACCCAAUUAUUGUUGAUAUUAAAUCUGCCUUGAAUAAAUAUCACAUCAGGACUGUCAGAAGGACAAACAAUGGGCUGGCUCAUGAACUAGCCAACUUUUCCAAAGCUCAUGGAGACUUUGUGGUUGCGGAUGGUGUCCCAGUCCAACUACAUGAUCUGCUCCGGAAGGAAAACGAUGCAGCCUUAGCGUCGGUAUCAGGCAUUUUGAUGGAUGUAAAGCGGACUUGAUUGUCUGUGAUGGCGCCCCUGAUUUAGAUCUCAGAUACUUUUUGGACGUAAUUUGCAGUACCCAUAAGAUGCAGUGUCCAAAAAUAAUGCUACCUUAACCCUGCAGUUUAUGUUUAGUAUUCUACCUUAAAAUGUUUACUUUUGGCGCAAUAGCUUCUUUGGAUUUUUAUAUUGAACAUUGGACCAUUUUUACUCAACCUUUGGAUAAUUUGUUGCUGUUUAUGUUGUAGAACAACAUAUGUAACACAAUGGUUCCACUAACUUGUUAUAUUUUCCACUAAUGUCCUUCCUGCUUCCAUCUACAUUGCUGCCCCAUCACUCCUCUACCAAAUCCCAGCUUCAUGGUGGAUUCAUCUACAGGUAGUUAAUCUCCUAGCGCCGAAUCACUGCACAGCUGCACAUGAAUUGUUAUGGACCAUUUGUUUUCUUCAGGAAUCCACACCUACGGCAGUUCUCCUAGAAACCAUCUGCCCGAAGUUCAUCUCCCUACCACUCUAGUUUGUGACAGAACAGAGAAUUGUUACAGCUGAGAUCAUAGACAAAUCUUAUGUUGCAACAACAGGUUUGGAGGUUAUGCUGAGAAUUAAAAUGUCAAGGUUCAAAAAAUAGAUGCUUCAAGUAUUUAAUCUCUUCCAAAUACUCUUAUCAUGUUCCUUUCAGUGGUUAGAGCCCACAACUAAGAUAUGUUUGCUUCACACUCAUGCUUGUAAUACGCCUAUAUGGUUUCUUAUUUCAUCAUGUCCACGUUUGUAAUUCACUGGUGCUUGACCGAUAGUAGAGGUUAACCUUUUUUUU